This 313-nucleotide ribosomal RNA is filed under the name Salibacterium salarium. Its description in RNAcentral is "Bacillus salarius Bacterial large subunit ribosomal RNA". It matches the Rfam family "Bacterial large subunit ribosomal RNA", at positions 75 to 380 of the family's 2925-position model. The record is from Rfam by way of RNAcentral. Lineage: Bacteria; Bacillati; Bacillota; Bacilli; Caryophanales; Bacillaceae.
GCCCCGUGGAGCUGUAAGUAAGCUUUGAUCCGGGGAUAUCCGAAUGGGGAAACCCCCUAUCCGUAAUGGGAUAGGAUUCGCAUCUGAACACAUAGGAUGCGGAAAGGCAAACCCGGGGAACUGAAACAUCUUAGUACCCGGAGGAAGAGAAAGCAUAUGCGAUUUCCCGAGUAGCGGCGAGCGAAACGGAAUCAGCCCAAACCAGGGUGCUUGCACCCUGGGGUUGUAGGACACUCCUUACGGAGUUAUCAAGAAAUUAGGUAGGCGAAGCGGCCUGGAACGGCCCGCGAUACACGGUAAGAGCCCGGUAGUC